CACCAUGAUGUGAGUGACCCUCAGGGAUAGCAGUGCUCCAUCUCUCUGGCCAGCGCUUCUGCAGAGCAGCAGAGGGGCUGGGGUCUCUGGGCACGGCCAUGCAGAGUGGGCUCCACCAACACCUCCGGCUUCUGCUGGAGGCUUCCUCCCCUUGGCCCGUCGCUCACCCCUUUCCUGAGUGACACAGCAGGACAGGGGGUGGUGGGCCAGUAGGGAAGGCUGCAGGCAGGAACGCCCACGGAGCAGUCCCCGGGCUCUCUGUUACCUCCACCACCCACCCUGGCCUAGGGCCUGAGGACUGCUGGGCUUCCUCCUGCCUGGGGGUUUCCGGUGGUCAAGUCCACUGUGCCCAGCCGUCCAGAAAACAGGAGCCACCUGCCCGUGUAACACGGUGGGGCUUUUAAUCCACAGGAGCCUCAACACCUGUGCUCCUGGGACUUCCUCUUUUAGGGGGAACAUGUGGAACCUUGGUCCCUUCAGGAGGGGCAGUCCCCACCCGCCAGUCGCCCAGGGCAUCACCCUCUGAGCCCCUCUCAGUCCCCAGUGUCUGAGGGUGCCAAGGGCCUGCGGUUCCUGUCUCAGGCAGU
RNAcentral lists this long non-coding RNA (587 nucleotides) under Homo sapiens (human). RNAcentral describes it as "non-protein coding lnc-KRTAP5-5-2:1". Lineage: Eukaryota; Metazoa; Chordata; Mammalia; Primates; Hominidae. The record is from RNAcentral.